Molecule: small RNA, 21 nt
Filed under: Arabidopsis thaliana (thale cress)
Lineage: Eukaryota; Viridiplantae; Streptophyta; Magnoliopsida; Brassicales; Brassicaceae
Description: Ath_wt_08572
Source: RNAcentral
UACUAGGAUGGGUGACCUCCC